GAGCUGGGGAUAUGUAACACCUAAGGGCCUGUUUUUUAACUACUAAAAAUCUGCACUACCAGUCUGUGAUGUUGAGGUGAAGAGCAUAGAAACUGAAGGAAGACUAUCAUCUAGUCUGAAAUCACCAUGUCCUUGCUCCAUCUCUGCUCUGAUCAACAGAAUGAGGCCAGGAACCAGCUGCUGGGGUAUCCCAGGGUUGGUGUGAAUUUGUGUCUGUAGCCACCUGAGAAAUGCCACAGCUGUGGCCUGGUGAGGCUCAAUGAGGGCACCCAGAAAACAGGCAGCAGAACUCCUCAAGAGCUUCCCUCCAUACUCCUGCAACCCUAUUUGGCUGAUACUUGGAGA
This is a long non-coding RNA of Chiroxiphia lanceolata (lance-tailed manakin), 345 nucleotides long. RefSeq lists it as uncharacterized. NCBI's taxonomy places the organism in Eukaryota, Metazoa, Chordata, Aves, Passeriformes, Pipridae. The transcript is spliced from 3 exons. The record is from RefSeq and is a predicted model, not a curated record.